This 112-nucleotide unclassified non-coding RNA is filed under the name Enterobacter sp. kpr-6. RNAcentral's name for it is "SraB RNA". The record is from RNAcentral. Lineage: Bacteria; Pseudomonadati; Pseudomonadota; Gammaproteobacteria; Enterobacterales; Enterobacteriaceae.
GGGACAUAUUUUUUUCGCCUUAUAUAGCGUAUUGUUGUCAGGCAUUUUAAACUACAGGCCGCAAUGUGUGCGAAUAAUUGGCGAAAGGCAUCCUCUGGUUGCCUUUUUCUUU